GCUGGGUGUGGUGGCUCACACCUGUAAUCCCAGCACUUUGGGAGGCUGAGGUGGGAGCAUUGCUUGAGCCCAGGAGUUCAAGACCAGCCUGGGCAAUAUGGCAAAACCCUGCCUCUA
RNAcentral lists this non-coding RNA (117 nucleotides) under Chlorocebus sabaeus (green monkey). The record is from Rfam by way of RNAcentral. Lineage: Eukaryota; Metazoa; Chordata; Mammalia; Primates; Cercopithecidae.